AUGGCCGGGCCGGGCCGGGCUUGGGCCUGGGUUUUUUGCGUCGGGCUUCGGUUGGCCCGGCCCGAGGAAUGGCCAGAUCGAUCGGCCAUGUCUGUGGUGUCGACGUCGGAUCUCAGCUCGCUGGAGGCGAUGCUGAACUCGCUGAUGGGGAGGUCCGGAGGAGGAGAGGUAACGCAAAUGGACGACAACGACGAAGAGGGUGAAGAGGAGGAGGAAGCCCUCGAGUCGCCACCGCCACCGCCGCCGCCGCCGUUGCCCGUGCUGCCGACCCUGCGAGGCCGUCUCCCGUCGCUGCGGAGGGUCCCUGGGGCCGCCGCCGCGGGGCCGUGGACCCCGCCGUCGCCACCGCCACCUCACAAGGGGGGCGAGGACGACGCUGCUGCGGAGGUUUCAGGCUCGGUGGCGGAGCUGGAGAGGAAGGCGGCGGAGGCGGAGGCGCGGCUGCGGCAGAAAGAGGAGGAGAACGCGGCGCUGAGGCGGCGGAUUGAGAGCUACCACAUCAGGUGGCUGGAGUACGAGAUCAGGAUCAAGUCCCUCGAGGAGGAUUUCCACGAGCAACUGGCGUCUCUGCAGAUGGCUCGGGACGCUGCACGGAUUGCUCAAGAGUUACCCUACGUCGACCUCCAUGAAUUCUCCGAGCCUCGCAUGAUGAAGCUGCCCGGUGAGGAGGCAUCGCCGAGGCUGCGGCAGGCAGGCAGCCGCCGCAGUGCGGACGGCGGCAGACGAAUUAGUGCUGUGGGCCGGCUCGGCGCGGAGUUCCGGCGGGGGAGCCAGGCGCUCGAGAAGGGCGUGGCGGCGCUGACCGUCGAGCAGAGGCCGUGGCAGCCCGGCGUCCCGAGCGCGGGCUCCUUCGGUGACCUGAGGAAACUCAAGGCGCAGUUCCGCUCGUGGAAGAAAGAUUACAAGGUCCGGCUGCGCAAGGCCAAGGCGGAGAUGGACAGGGACAGAAGGCGUCAGAGCAGCUGCUGGAUUUGA
Molecule: ribosomal RNA, 975 nt
Filed under: Triticum aestivum (bread wheat)
Lineage: Eukaryota; Viridiplantae; Streptophyta; Magnoliopsida; Poales; Poaceae
Description: partial small subunit ribosomal RNA
Source: RNAcentral